UAGGGAAUCUUCGGCAAUGGGGGGAACCCUGACCGAGCAACGCCGCGUGAGUGAAGAAGGUUUUCGGAUCGUAAAGCUCUGUUGUUAAGGAAGAACGAGUGUGAGAAUGGAAAGUUCAUGCUGUGACGGUACUUAACCAGAAAGGGACGGUUAACUACGUGCCAGCAGCCGCGGUAAUACGUAGGUCCCGAGCGUUGUCCGGAUUUAUUGGGCGUAAAGCGAGCGCAGGCGGUUAGAAAAGUCUGAAGUGAAAGGCAGUGGCUCAACCAUUGUAGGCUUUGGAAACUGUUUAACUUGAGUGCAGAAGGAGAGAGUGGAAUUCCAUGUGUAGCGGUGAAAUGCGUAGAUAUAUGGAGGAACACCGGUGGCGAAAGCGGCUCUCUGGUCUGUAACUGACGCUGAGGCUCGAAAGCGUGGGGAGCGAACAGG
RNAcentral lists this ribosomal RNA (429 nucleotides) under Bacteroidota bacterium. RNAcentral's name for it is "Bacteroidetes bacterium partial 16S ribosomal RNA". It matches the Rfam family "Bacterial small subunit ribosomal RNA", at positions 355 to 776 of the family's 1533-position model. The record is from RNAcentral. Lineage: Bacteria; Pseudomonadati; Bacteroidota.